This 66-nucleotide transfer RNA is filed under the name Gandalfus yunohana. RNAcentral describes it as "tRNA-Phe". Lineage: Eukaryota; Metazoa; Arthropoda; Malacostraca; Decapoda; Bythograeidae. The record is from RNAcentral.
AUUUAUAUAAUUUAUAUAGAAUAUUGCACUGAAGCUGCAGAAGAGACUAGUACUAGUCUGUAAAUA